RNAcentral lists this ribosomal RNA (440 nucleotides) under uncultured bacterium. RNAcentral describes it as "partial 16S ribosomal RNA". It matches the Rfam family "Bacterial small subunit ribosomal RNA", at positions 338 to 795 of the family's 1533-position model. The record is from RNAcentral.
CCUACGGGUGGCAGCAGUGGGGAAUAUUGGACAAUGGAGGAAACUCUGAUGCAGCGACGCCGCGUGAGUGAAGAAGUAUUUCGGUACGUAAACCUCUAUCAGCAGGAAAGAAAAUGACGGUACCUGACUAAGAAGCCCCGGCUAACUACGUGCCAGCAGCCGCGGUAAUACGUAGGGGGCGAGCGUUAUCCGGAUUUACUGGGUUUAAAGGGAGCGUAGACGGCAGCGCAAGUCUGGAGUGAAAUGCAGGGGCCCAACCCGGGAGCUGCUCUGGAAACUGUGUAGCUGGAGUGCAGUAGAGGUAAGCGGAAUUCCUGGUGUAGCGGUGAAAUGCGUUGAUAUUAGGAGGAACACCAGCGGCGAAGGCGGCUUACUGGGCUGUAACUGACGUUGAGGCUCGAAGGCGUGGGGAGCAAACAGGAUUAGAUACCCCUGUAGUC